UACGUAGGGUCCGAGCGUUGUCCGGAAUUAUUGGGCGUAAAGGGCUCGUAGGCGGUUUGUCGCGUCGGGAGUGAAAACCAGAGGCUUAACUUCUGGCUUGCUUUCGAUACGGGCAGACUUGAGGCAUGCAGGGGAGAACGGAAUUCCUGGUGUAGCGGUGAAAUGCGCAGAUAUCAGGAGGAACACCGGUGGCGAAGGCGGUUCUCUGGGCAUGUUCUGACGCUGAGGAGCGAAAGUGUGGGGAGCGAACAGG
RNAcentral lists this ribosomal RNA (253 nucleotides) under uncultured bacterium. RNAcentral describes it as "partial 16S ribosomal RNA". It matches the Rfam family "Bacterial small subunit ribosomal RNA", at positions 524 to 776 of the family's 1533-position model. The record is from RNAcentral.